GCUCCGGUAGCUCAGACGGCAGAGCGGCUGGCUGAAGCCCAGCAGGUCAUAGGUUCAAUUCCUGUCCGAAGCCCCA
RNAcentral lists this transfer RNA (76 nucleotides) under Deinococcus cavernae. RNAcentral's name for it is "Deinococcus sp. K2S05-167 tRNA-Phe". It matches the Rfam family "tRNA". From Rfam's summary of the family: Transfer RNA (tRNA) molecules are approximately 80 nucleotides in length. The record is from RNAcentral. Lineage: Bacteria; Thermotogati; Deinococcota; Deinococci; Deinococcales; Deinococcaceae.